GCCUGGGUGGCUCAGUGGGUUGAGCGUCCGACUUUGGCUCAGAUCAUGAUCUCGCGGUCUAUGGGUUCAAACCCCACGUUGGGCU
This 85-nucleotide transfer RNA is filed under the name Felis catus (domestic cat). It matches the Rfam family "tRNA". Rfam says of the family: Transfer RNA (tRNA) molecules are approximately 80 nucleotides in length. Their secondary structure includes four short double-helical elements and three loops (D, anti-codon, and T loops). Further hydrogen bonds mediate the characteristic L-shaped molecular structure. tRNAs have two regions of fundamental functional importance: the anti-codon, which is responsible for specific mRNA codon recognition, and the 3' end, to which the tRNAs corresponding amino acid is attached (by aminoacyl-tRNA synthetases). tRNAs cope with the degeneracy of the genetic code in two manners: having more than one tRNA (with a specific anti-codon) for a particular amino acid; and 'wobble' base-pairing, i.e. permitting non-standard base-pairing at the 3rd anti-codon position. The record is from Rfam by way of RNAcentral. Lineage: Eukaryota; Metazoa; Chordata; Mammalia; Carnivora; Felidae.